CACCAGUUCAACAAAGAAUCCAGCACCAACAGUUCCAAUUAUCGCAGCCAAAGUACCAGCGGUGUUCGAUAUACCAUGGAGAACGCCAGAAUACUGCGGGGCAAUCUCCUGAAGGUUGACAAGGAAGCCACAAUGACUAAAUGCUUUCAGUCCUACAGCUAAAGUAAGCCAAGCAGAUGCUAUGGAUGGACUUGGUGCUGUGGUUAAACCAAUGAGAGAAAAACCGGGGCCGAAAAAACCAACUGACUGCAUAACUUUCCGGGUUAGGGUCACACUUAUGCCUCUUUGGAUCAUCAUGUCUGACAGAAACCCAG
Molecule: unclassified non-coding RNA, 314 nt
Filed under: Hevea brasiliensis (rubber tree)
Lineage: Eukaryota; Viridiplantae; Streptophyta; Magnoliopsida; Malpighiales; Euphorbiaceae
Source: RNAcentral